This 253-nucleotide ribosomal RNA is filed under the name uncultured bacterium. Its description in RNAcentral is "partial 16S ribosomal RNA". It matches the Rfam family "Bacterial small subunit ribosomal RNA", at positions 524 to 776 of the family's 1533-position model. The record is from RNAcentral.
GACGUAGGGCGCGAGCGUUGUCCGGAUUUAUUGGGCGUAAAGAGCUCGUAGGCGGCUUGUCGCGUCGAAUGUGAAAACCCACAGCUCAACUGUGGGCUUGCAUUCGAUACGGGCAGGCUAGAGUUCGGUAGGGGAGACUGGAAUUCCUGGUGUAGCGGUGAAAUGCGCAGAUAUCAGGAAGAACACCCGUGGCUAAGGCGGCUCUCUAGUACGGUACUGACGCUGAGACGCGAAAGCGUGGGGAGCGAACAGG